GAUGAACGCUGGCGGCGUGCCUAAUACAUGCAAGUCGAGCGAACAGAUAAGGAGCUUGCUCCUUUGACGUUAGCGGCGGACGGGUGAGUAACACGUGGGUAACUUACCUAUAAGACUGGAAUAACUCCGGGAAACCGGGGCUAAUGCCGGAUAACAUGUUGAACCGCAUGGUUCUACAGUGAACGGCGGCUUUGCUGUCACUUAUAGAUGGACCCGCGCCGUAUUAGCUAGUUGGUGAGGUAACGGCUCACCAAGGCAACGAUACGUAGCCGACCUGAGAGGAUGAUCAGGAACAGUGGACAUGAGACACGGUCCAGAGUCCUACGGGAGGCAGCAGUGGGGAAUAUUGGACAAGGGGCGAAAGUCUGAUACAGCCAUGGCGAGUGUGUGAAGAAGGUCUUCGGAUUGUAAAGCACUUUAAGUUGGGAGGAAGGGCAGUAAGUGGAUACCUUGCUGUUUUGACGUUACCAAAAGAAUAAGCACCGGCUAACUUCGUG
This 497-nucleotide ribosomal RNA is filed under the name uncultured bacterium. RNAcentral's name for it is "partial 16S ribosomal RNA". It matches the Rfam family "Bacterial small subunit ribosomal RNA", at positions 28 to 507 of the family's 1533-position model. The record is from RNAcentral.